UUGUCUUGUUGUUGGUAAAACCUCCU
Molecule: non-coding RNA, 26 nt
Filed under: Rattus norvegicus (Norway rat)
Lineage: Eukaryota; Metazoa; Chordata; Mammalia; Rodentia; Muridae
Source: RNAcentral